CGCCUCCAAGUUUCAUAAAUAACCCGUCAAGUCACUGUCUGUCACAUUUCCUUCCAUCAGCUCCUGGUUAAUCGUCAAGGAUGAAACUCGCAGUCGUCUUCCUUUUGGGUUUACUCAUUUCCGUGGUGAUGUUUGAGGGAGCCAUGUCCCACCGCCGCUGUCGUCGACACAGACGUCACCGUCAUUCCAGCAGCUCAAGCUACAGUCAUCACCAUCAUCACCAUGGUCACCAUCACCAUGGACACCACGGUCAUCAUCACCAUGGACACCACGGUCAUCAUCACCAUGGACACCACGGUCAUCAUCAUGGUCACCAUGGACAUCAUCAUCAUCAUCAUGGAAAAUAGCAAUGGGUGGUUCUGACAUCUUGCCAAGUGUACAGUGUACCUUGACUGUCUACAGCCAAUAAAUAUAUUAAAACAUGUU
Haliotis rufescens (red abalone) is the source of this 426-nucleotide long non-coding RNA. RefSeq lists it as uncharacterized. NCBI's taxonomy places the organism in Eukaryota, Metazoa, Mollusca, Gastropoda, Lepetellida, Haliotidae. The transcript is spliced from 3 exons. The record is from RefSeq and is a predicted model, not a curated record.